CUACGAAGAAGACCGCGGCAAAAUGUGUUAACGCCGAAUUUGUGGUCUUUAGUUGGAUUUAGUUAGCGUCAUGGAGGAAAGGGGUUUUAUCUCACUUUCUUGUCAAAGCACACAAUUUAUGUCACGACAAUGAAAAAAGAAAGAAAAAUAUAUUUAUUGCGCGUUCAAGUGAACUAUAAAAACAGGACGUUAUUUGAGGAUGUCAACGAUAUAGUUGGUGGGAGCGGACUCCCCACAUUAUAUCCUGGUAGUGCUGACUAAUAAAGAGCUGAGACCAGUGAACAAUGAUGAGGAAGACUGAGCUGAAAUAACUUCACCUGGACCCAAAUAAGAUACUAUAUAAUUUCUAAAGAACCCCAGUUGGGGUGUGCAUGAAGAAGAAGGUGGGCACCUUGAUAGGAUGACAGUCACUAUAAGAGGAGAGAGAGAGAGUAAAUUUGCGGUGUGGACGCAUGCCAUUUUUUUCCCAUGAUGAUACAGGGCAGGUGACUUAGCUGUUGCCUGAUCCUUUAUGAAGAGAAAUACAGACUAAGGGAAGACACGCCAGAGGUGGCACAUCUCCAGCCUACUUGAGGACACACGGUCAUGUGAAAGAAUGUCUGGCAGCAUACUGUUCCAUAGACAAUACAGGCAGCAGAGACAUCCACUUGAAGACCUGUGCUCAUAUUUAUCAAAUGUCUUAGAAUUGAAAAUUAUGAAGGGAAUUAGUUUGUUGGUUCGAUACUGUUACUUUAAAAUGAGUUCA
Molecule: long non-coding RNA, 745 nt
Organism: Polypterus senegalus (gray bichir)
Lineage: Eukaryota; Metazoa; Chordata; Cladistia; Polypteriformes; Polypteridae
Exons: 3
Source: RefSeq, a predicted model, not a curated record